CAGUCGCCGCGGGAAUACGUAGGGUGCGAGCGUUAAUCGGAAUUACUGGGCGUAAAGCGUGCGCAGGCGGUUCGUUAAGACAGAUGUGAAAUCCCCGGGCUUAACCUGGGAACUGCAUUUGUGACUGGCGAGCUAGAGUAUGGCAGAGGGGGGUAGAAUUCCACGUGUAGCAGUGAAAUGCGUAGAGAUGUGGAGGAAUACCGAUGGCGAAGGCAGCCCCCUGGGCCAAUACUGACGCUCAUGCACGAAAGCGUGGGGAGCAAACAGGAUUAGAUACCCCAGUAGUCCCUGUCUCUUAUAA
RNAcentral lists this ribosomal RNA (301 nucleotides) under uncultured bacterium. RNAcentral describes it as "partial 16S ribosomal RNA". It matches the Rfam family "Bacterial small subunit ribosomal RNA", at positions 509 to 809 of the family's 1533-position model. The record is from RNAcentral.